GCGAUCGCCACCGAGCUAGAAGCUGAAAUGAGGUCACGCUAAAUCAACCAAUAAGCACGUUUGAUUUCAUCUGCCCCGUAUCAAUAAAUAAUACACGAUACGAGAUAUGAAACAUGGCCAGUAGUCAAAGUGCAGGCAGCCAGUUGAAUGGUGAAUUUACGCUACUGUGUUAAACUCAUUUAUUUGUGAAUGUGACUUUGAAAGAGUCAGUGCCUCCCAGCCGGACCUCACCGCACGUCACGGCAGCCAUUGUGUUGUGAAUGAAGAAACGUAGACGGAUAAUUGCGUCGAGUUACGGAAGCAGUAAAGUUCGCUGAGCUGGGAACUGCGGUCGUGACCGGCCAGCCGGCAGCGGCACGUGCCCAACGUCAGCGGACAUUUCCUAGUUGGUGGAAGACGGAACUGAACGAUCUCGAAGGAAGAACCACCUGAAAGAUGCUCCCCUCCGUCUCUCCCACUGAAGCUGAAGGAAACAACUCUUAGAGCAGCGCUGGACUGCGCUUCUUCAGAAAAGGGAGGGGGUUUGUGGCUGCGUAUACUUGAAUCAAUACAGCGGCUCUUCAAUCGGAAGCAAAGGAGCUGAGUGGGCGAGAGGUUCUUGCACAUACGGUUGUUAUGUUCUGAGGUUAAGUGGAUGUGCGUGCACCUCAAGUAUAGUAUGUUCAAGUAAUUCCUGUCCUGAACCAUUAUAGAGGGCUGAGAAUGGCUACUACUUUCAGGGUAUGUUGUGUAUCAAUAAAUAACAGAUGUCCAGUUACAGUAAAUUCUGAGAUCCCGCCUUUGUAAUUGGUUUUGACUCAGAUCAUCAGAGUGAGGAUCAUCUCCUCAUCAAUCAAUUCCUGCAAAGCAUACAUACUCCUCUGAAAGCACCUGUUGUUCCCUAAAUAGAGCAGCCAUCCGUUUAGUGCUGUACUUUGUCUGAUUGAGCUCCAAAUGUUAAUAUUUUAAAAUGGAUAUUUGUACUCAAAGGCUCCGUCUUUCCUGCUCCCUCUGUCGUCUCCAAAGCCACCGACAACCCC
Molecule: long non-coding RNA, 1019 nt
Organism: Gasterosteus aculeatus aculeatus (three-spined stickleback)
Lineage: Eukaryota; Metazoa; Chordata; Actinopteri; Perciformes; Gasterosteidae
Source: Ensembl